This 482-nucleotide ribosomal RNA is filed under the name uncultured bacterium. RNAcentral's name for it is "SSU rRNA". It matches the Rfam family "Bacterial small subunit ribosomal RNA", at positions 26 to 521 of the family's 1533-position model. The record is from RNAcentral.
AGGACGAACGCUGGCGGCAUGCCUAACACAUGCAAGUCGAACGCUUCCGGGGCUUCGGUCGCGGAGGAGUGGCGCACGGGUGAGUAGCGCGUGGGAACCUGCCCUGUUGUGGGGGAUAACCGAGGGAAACUUCGGCUAAUACCGCAUACGCCCCGGGACUUGGUCUUCGGAUUAGGUCUGGGGGGAAAGAUUGAUCGCAGCAGGAGGGGCCCGCGUCGGAUUAGCUGGUUGGUGGGGUAACGGCUCACCAAGGCGAUGAUCCGUAGCUGGUCUGAGAGGAUGAUCAGCCACACUGGGACUGAGACACGGCCCAGACUCCUACGGGAGGCAGCAGUGGGGGAAUAUUGGACAAUGGGGGCAACCCUGAUCCAGCAAUGCCGCGUGAGUGAUGAAGGCCUUAGGGUUGUAAAGCUCUUUCGCCCGCGACGAUGAUGACGGUAGCGGGAGAGAAGCCCGGCUAACUUCGCGCCAGCAGCCGCGGU